This 442-nucleotide ribosomal RNA is filed under the name uncultured bacterium. RNAcentral describes it as "partial 16S ribosomal RNA". It matches the Rfam family "Bacterial small subunit ribosomal RNA", at positions 338 to 795 of the family's 1533-position model. The record is from RNAcentral.
ACUACGGGAGGCAGCAGUGGGGAAUAUUGGGCAAUGGGCGCAAGCCUGACCCAGCGACGCCGCGUGAGGGAAGACGGUCUUCGGAUUGUAAACCUCUUUCAGCAGGGAAGACACAAGGACGUUACCUGCUGAAGAAGCCACGGCUAAUUACGUGCCAGCAGCGGCGGUAAUAGGUAGGGGGCAGGGGUUAACCGGAAUUACGGGGGGUAAAGGGGGGGUAGGCGGGUUUGCAGGUCAGAUGUGAAAAUUAUGGGCGCAACCCCGAACCUGCCCCUGAAACUACAGAUCUUGAGAGUGGGAGAGGUAAACGGAAUUCCCGGUGUAGCGGUGAAAGGCGUAGAUAUCGGGAGGAACACCAGUGGCGAAGGCGGUUUACUGGACCACAACUGACGCUGAGACACGAAAGCGUGGGGAGCAAACAGGAUUAGAUACCCGUGUAGUC